GACGAACGCUGGCGGCGUGCUUAACACAUGCAAGUCGAACGGAAAGGCCUCUUUCGGAGGGUACUCGAGUGGCGAACGGGUGAGUAACACGUGAGUAACCUGCCCUUGACUUUGGGAUAACUUCAGGAAACUGGGGCUAAUACCGGAUAGGAGCUCCUGCUGCAUGGUGGGGGUUGGAAAGUUUCGGCGGUUGGGGAUGGACUCGCGGCUUAUCAGCUUGUUGGUGGGGUAGUGGCUUACCAAGGCUUUGACGGGUAGCCGGCCUGAGAGGGUGACCGGCCACAUUGGGACUGAGAUACGGCCCAGACUCCUACGGGAGGCAGCAGUGGGGAAUAUUGCACAAUGGGUGGAAGCCUGAUGCAGCAACGCCGUGUGCGGGAUGACGGCCUUCGGGUUGUAAACCGCUUUCGCUCAUGACGAAGCUUUGUGUGACGGUAGUGGGUAAAGAAGCACCGGCUAACUACGUG
RNAcentral lists this ribosomal RNA (467 nucleotides) under uncultured bacterium. RNAcentral describes it as "partial 16S ribosomal RNA". It matches the Rfam family "Bacterial small subunit ribosomal RNA", at positions 28 to 507 of the family's 1533-position model. The record is from RNAcentral.